Molecule: long non-coding RNA, 98 nt
Organism: Octopus sinensis (East Asian common octopus)
Lineage: Eukaryota; Metazoa; Mollusca; Cephalopoda; Octopoda; Octopodidae
Exons: 3
Source: RefSeq, a predicted model, not a curated record
UAAGGAACAAUCCAAUGCAGGCGAGUUCUAAGGUCAUUUGUCACUGGAAAACUAAUAAAGAAAGAAAAAAAGGAAGCAAUGAAGGAAGCCAUGGCAAC